UUGAUCUCGAGCUCAAUUGGAGCUUAUCAUUGAACUCAAAAGAUUAAUCAAGGUUGGUUUCUUAAUGUUUCAAGUAAGCUCAAGUCACUUAAUGAUAGGAAUGUGAAGAAUUUGGAGUAUUCUAGAAGAGAUAGUAACAGAAUGGAUGAGGUUUGUUGGAGGAGUGGAAUCAUGAUGGGACAGCCGGCAAAAAGGGACAGAAAUUAGUAUCAAGAGGAGAAGAGGGGAAUGAAGAGAUGCAUCUAGAAAAGUAGAAAUCUAUCAAUUUCUCUGGUUUGAGGGACAUAGUAUUCUGCAUGGGGAUCUUCAUUGGGGGCUGAUUAAGCCAUUGUUGAGUGUCUUGUUCUUUUCGUUUCUUUUUCAGAAUUUGUAAGUGAGCUAAGUAGAGAGUGAGAGAGACUGAUUGUAAAGGCAUUCUGCCAUUUUCCGUUGCAAUACAAAUUACAGUUCUUCUCCAUUCAACUAUUUUACAUUUUUAUUGCUCCCAACUCUUAUCACUCAACAUGAUUAACCAACUGAAAAAUAAUUUCUUUCAAUAUAAUAUUUAUCUUAUUAUAACAUUUUUAUCUCAAUAAUGCAUUUUAAUUGCCAAUUUAUAUGUUCAUAAUUCAUUAAUUAAUUAAAUGUUAUACUUCUAGUAAAAUUAUUGUAAGGUGAAUCAUACUAAAAAUAUUUUUCUCUGUUCAUGAGCUUUUGAACCAAGCUUGAAGAUGAUGAAAAUUGUUAUUACAAAAUACUUGGGUUUAAAUUUUUAUUGAUUUAUUUAGUUAAAGAGUGAGCUUAAUAAGCAUCAAACCAAGCUCAAGUAACUUGGAUAUAGUUUUAUGGAACUUUGGUUUUGAGGAGGUAGACUGUAACUAAAGUUGUUUUUCCUCAUGCAUGGUAAUCCAACUUAAUCUUCCCACUCAAACUGCAAGUGCACGAGUAUGUGCUUAUAUCUGUUAGAUUUUUGCAUUUUAGUACACUUUCUUAGGUCAAGGAUGUGAUUCUUUUGCACUACAACUUUUACUAGAGUUGAACUUUCCUUUGAACAAUUCUAGUCUUAUCUAAGAAAAUGAAAAGAAGAAGCAUUUAUGGAUACCAAUAACAGGCUUAAUGCUACUGUAGGUCAGUAACUGUACGUUUUCAUACAAAAGACUGCAAUAUAUGCAUAGAGUUGUAUAAUACCAAAGACUUGACAGAAAUAAGUUGAUAGAUAGAUCAUAGAUUAAGUUACAAAUAUUUGGCAUUUACCAUAGGCAAUCAUAUUCUCACACAACGAGAGAGAUGCAACAGAAAUACACUCAUGUAAUAUCACCACGUAAGAAAAAAAUUAGCAACAAUAUUCAAAUGCGAUUGCAUGCCAAGCAAGUGUUCCUUACCUUUAAGGGGAAAAAAUUCCCUAGAGAUAAAAAUAGGAAAGUUCUGUUUCUUACCUUGAUCAGGGGGUGGAAGAGUCCGGCUGUGAGGAGGAUGAUAAGUAGCAAAAGCCAUUUUCUAGAGAAAAGCAUAAAAAUAAAUAUAAUUCUAAAUAAGGAUGGAAAUAUAUUUCAUUCUCAGAAUAAGAAUCAUAAUUGAAACUGUGAGGAGAAGCAUUUCAAAUGCCUAAAAUUGACAAAUGAAAAAACAGUUUCAAUCAGGGAAUUGGGACAAUAUUUUUGAGUCACAAUAUUUAACAUUCAUCACAAACCAGCAUGCAUGUAUCAUUCAUAAACUAUAUCACACUUAUACCUUGAGAUGGAAACUUAACAGUGCAGACUGCCAUAGUGCACCAGCCUCACCCAGUAACUUGUAAGCACCAGAUUAUAGCAUAUAGGACACAAUCAAUUUAGAGAUUUGCCUAUUCAUAAGACCAAUUAUAAACCAAUCCAGUUAUGUAAUCAUUGAUAUUGGAGAGUGAUGGUCUCAAAAUUAAUAAAAUGAUGGUCUCAAAAUUAAUAAUUGCACCAAAAAAAUGUUCAUAAAAGAGCCUAUACACUUAUGUGUUGUAAAAAGAGACUUUCAGUUUUGUACAGGCAUCUUCACAUGUACAUGGCAAUAUUUUAAAUUUGUAAUAUUCAUUUUGUUUCUUCUUACAUAAGCAGGCUUGACUCCUCUAAGAUUUUUAUUUCAAGAAAUUUCACAUUAUGUAUUUGCUUUUAUGGCAUCAAACACAAUUUUUUCACCUCUGCCAGAGAAGCUGCCAACUGAAUCCUAGCUUCUUUCUAAAAAUCAACAAACGUAAGGAUUCACAGUCCAAAAGAGAUUUGCCUGAUUAUCUAUACAAAUAUAUAUGCAAAACUCAUUAACUAUGAUAUAUACAAAAUUUUGAACUUUAUAGUUGAAGGACUAUCAGUUUAUAAGUUAAUAAAGCCAAAGCUUCAUAUGUUGGUCAUAUAAGGCUUCUAUUUCACUUGAAAGAAUAAAGCAAGAAAUCAUUUAGGAGAAUGUAAAAACAACUGGAUAGCAUAAGAAGGAAUAAGAUGAGGAAUCAGGGAAGCAAAGAAAUAGUGGGUGAUAUUCUAUUUUACUUCAUCUACAUACUCACCUUUAAAGUUACAAUGGUGCAGAAAUUAUCAGGCAAAUCUAGUUGGCUAUGGGACAUAAUCAAUGAAACAGCUUGAAUCCAAGAAACAUUGAGGCACUGCAUAACUCAUUUUGAUCAUGAAUAAUAAUAUAACAAAAAUGAACUCACUCUCAGAAACUAAUGUAUUUGGCUAAUGUCUAAAUGGGAGCUGAAGUUUACUCACUCAGGUAAGGACAUAGAAUGCAGAAGAUGUUCAAACUGUCAUUGGAUGCACUCCCGAUUUUCAAAAUGCAGUUCAAUUUAGGUAAGCCUUAAUCACAACAGCUUGGCACAAACAACGAGACAAUUUCCUACAGUUUUAAGAUCGAAUUCUAAAACCGUAGAAUCAUUAUCAUUAUCACAAAAGAUACAAUCUCAUCUCAUCAACUCACUGUAAGAAAAGAAGAAUAGCAAUACUACGUUUCGAACAGCCAAAUCUUUUGCAAAUUACAUCUGCGGCAGGAAAAGCCAAUCUAAAAAUGAAUAUCUAUACACACACACACACA
This 3030-nucleotide unclassified non-coding RNA is filed under the name Hevea brasiliensis (rubber tree). The record is from RNAcentral. Lineage: Eukaryota; Viridiplantae; Streptophyta; Magnoliopsida; Malpighiales; Euphorbiaceae.